Molecule: long non-coding RNA, 472 nt
Organism: Dermacentor albipictus
Lineage: Eukaryota; Metazoa; Arthropoda; Arachnida; Ixodida; Ixodidae
Source: RefSeq, a predicted model, not a curated record
CGGAGGCACCAUGGGAAUGCAGCCUGCUAAUCCAUUCACCUUUUUUUAUGCAGGUGCUCGUUCUUGGUUUGACCGGAGCGACGUAUCACCGAAACAGUUAUUCUACCGGAUCUUCAAGCUGCCAAAAUGUGCCUGUUGCUUCCACGUGUUUUCUCAACACGUCAGCAACGAUGGAGAGUUAUCACGAAACACGCCAGCUCUGGUCCCGCGCAAUCCAACUAUAGCGCCACCUACACAUCAUGUGACAUCAGUGGGCUGCUGUACAAAAGGACGACUGCAGCUGCGCAAUUUCAGUGGGCACGGCGGACCGACUGCGGGCAUGUAGCCUCGCAAGCCUUUCCUCUGCUUCAUGCAGCAAGCUCUAUGCCACCGAUGAGGGACACAGAUAAGCCGGGCCGACCAGGACGCCUUCAGAGACGGGAUCACAAGCGCAGCUGCUGAGCUCGCUGCGCCUUCUAUAUUGUUGAAGAUG